CAACUCCUCCCAACCCCUCAUAGCCCUGCUCUGGAGCAGGUAAAUAUUCCUCACGCCAGCAGGUGAGGAGGCUGGGGCCAGAUGACAGCUAGUGAGGGAGCAGAGACAAGACAAGGCGAGCCUGUGACAGAGCGAGACCCUGUCUCAAAAAACAAAAACAAGACAUGUGAGCUUGGACUCCAGUGUGGAAUCCCAUGUCCGCUCAGUGCACCUUUCUGCCGCUGAAAGUACAAGAGGAGAGGGGAAACCCACAGGUGGAGCUGACCAUGAGGACUGUCACAGGUGAGCUCAGGGGCUUGGGCGCCACCCCACAGGCCAUGGGGGGCUGCUGACCAACUCUGGGAGUGACAUCAUGAGGAAUGUGGCAUUUUAGGACAGUUGCCUUCUUAAUGAAGAGGACUCUGCUGAGUCUGGUGUAGCCAGGGGUGGCAGGAGCCAGCUGACAUGGGUAUGAGGGCUACUCCCUGACCCUCUCGGGAGGGUGUUACUAGCAGCAGCCACUGCAGCCCUGAGCCCCAGAAACACCAUUGUGGAGGCUUACAGUGCCUUCUCGAAGCUACCCAGCUUUCCCUCACCAGGGGCUGGUCCUUGGUUCCCACCUGCUGCCAUUCUUCCAGCUUUGAGAGGCAAAUCCAGAAAUCAGCCCUCCAGCUUCCUCUACCAAGAAGACUGGCGGUUACAACCCUGGCUCUGUGGGGCUUCUCUUGCCCUCUCUUCUGACUGCCCUACUUGGCUCCAGGGAACUCUUUGAAUAAGAGGACACCAGAUCAUGCCUGCAGUUCCAGCCCAGGGCUUUGGUAUCAGGAUGAUGCUGGCCUCAUAAAAUGAGUAAGGGAGGAUUCCCUCUUUUUGUAUUGAUUGGAAUAGUUUCAGAAGGAAUGGUACCAGCUCCUCCUUGUACCUCUGGUAGAAUUCAGCUGUGAAUCCGUCUGGUCCUGGACUUUUUUUGGUUGGUAAGCUAUUAAUUAUUGCCUCAAUUUCAGAGCCUAUUAUUGGUCUAUUCAGGGAUUCAACUUCUUCCUUGUUUAGUCUUGGGAGGGUGUAUGUGUUGAAGAAUUUAUCCAUUUCUUCUAGAUUUUCUAGUUUAUUUGCGUAGAAGUGUUUAUAGUAUUCUCUGAUGGUAGUUAGUAUUUCUGUGGGAUCGGUGGUGAUAUCUCCUUUAUCAUUUUUUAUUGCGUCUAUUUGAUUCUUCUCUCUUUUCUUCUUUAUUAAUCUUGUUAGCGGUCUAUCAAUUUUGUUGAUCUUUUCAAAAAACCAACUCCUGGAUUCAUUGAUUUUUUUGAAGGGCUUUUUGUAUCUCUAUCUCCACUUGCCACUGAGAGCUUAAGACAGCAGGACACUGGCUGGGCUCUCCUGAUAUCACUUGCUCUGCCCCGUUCUGCCCCAUCCAAAGAGCAGGGAAUACCAGAAGUAGGGGGUAGGGAAACAGGAGAUGGGAAAGUGGAAGGACUCCAGCAGGGGUCCUUCAUCUACAUUCCUAGUGCAGACCCUUCUGGAAGGAAAAAUACAUACAAAAGGUGCAGUUGGGAGGCUGAAGGGCACCACCCAACCCUAUCACUGCCAGGAACCUGAGCUGCCCCCGACAGAGUGAGAGGGGUCUCAUGGGUCCCCAAGCUCUCUGUGUGGCAGGAAACAAUAGCCACUUUUCUGGGGCCUCCAAGGAGAGGAGGAGUGAGAUCACACCUGGGGAGGGUGAAGGCAGAAAUACAGGAUAUGAGCAUCCUCCCAGGGGAGCAUGGGGAGCCAGGAGCAAGGCCUGGGGCUGGCUGCCUCCUCCCCAGUGUCCCUCCUUCAUCUAGGUUCCUGGGCCACACACUCUGGACUACCUGCCUCUGCUGGGAUUCUUCAAUGGUCUCACAGACCCAACUAGACUGUAAGCUGCUUGAAAGCAGGUCCACGGCAUCAGACUGUGGUUCAGGGCUCGGGUCCUGGAGUAGGGCAGGCCAGAGGCUGACCUACUUACUAGCUGUGUGAUUUUAAGCCAGUCCCUUAACCUCCUUGAGAUUCUCCUGUGCAAUGAAGAUAAAAAUAGGACCUAUCUCAUGAGAUCAUUGGGAAAAGUAAAUGAGUUAAUCAGAGUAAGUGCUUAACAAAAAUAUCUCCAUUGCUUGUGCCCCCAGAGCAACUAGCACCAGCCUCAGCAUGGAGCAGGACUUCAGUUCCAGCAGCGAGGACUGAGAUCAGACACAAGAGAAAGCUCCCUGAUGAGGAGGGGUGAUUCUAAAACGAAGGGCGGAAAUUAUCUGGGGAAUUUCCUUCCCGUGAAGCCUCAGGAACAUGCCAGUCCCCCACUUCGGUCUGUCCUGGGGGGUCUCACGCCCCUGUCCUCCUAGAGAAAUCUAGAUCCUCCAAACUCUGCCUGGGUUCUUCCUGGGGAGUCUUGACCCCUGCCUUGUGGUUGAUGUGGGAUAGGGGACCCGGGAACAGGGCUGCCUUCCUCUGGCCAAGGCCUGGCAAGCAAGUGUGGGAUGGGUGCUGUCUUCCUGAGAGGGACAAUAGAAGUGACAGAGCCCCCUAAUUCAAGACCCUGCAGAGGUGGUGUGAGAUCUUAUAAUAUCAGUCUCUAAGCCAGUGCCUCUCAAGCUCUCUUUGGUGAAGAAUCAAUUUUUAAAAUAUAUAAUCAGUCACAGAUCAAUGCUUUUGUAAAAUGCAAUAAAAGUUAAUUUCCAAAAAAAUCACAUACUUGGGUACCAUGGUAAUGUCAAUGUAAAAUUGCUGUAAAAUUGUUCUAAGUGCUUACUCUCAAUGUCUGUGCUCAGCUUAUCAGCAACCAGUAACAGUUUGUACCACUGGUUUGUACCACGACAACCAUGCUACACUUGGAGCUGACACUUUCAUAAAGGUUAAUUUCCCUCUUUUCCUUCCUGAAGUUUGACCUCUUCCUUGAUUAGAUAGGAGGAGGGAUUCCGACAGCCCCUCACCAUCUGUUUAGAACCUCUCCCCCCAUUGCAGGUCCUUCCUGGUCAUCUAACACCAUAUGCCAUAUGGAACAGUCCUGAUUAUACAUAUUCUGUCUCAUGGGCAAUGUGUUCUGAUUUGGGUCUUUUUUUUUUUUUUUUUUUUUUUUGAGACAGAUACUCUGUCACUCAGGUUGGAGUGCAAUGGCAUGAUCAUAGCUCACACUGCAGCCUCCAACUCCUGGGCUCAAGCGAUCCUCCUGCCUCAACCUCCCUUGUAGCUAGGACUACAGGUGUGAGUCAUCACCAUAGCUGAUUUUUUUUUACUUUUGUUAUUUGUAGAGAUGAGGACUCACUGUGUUGCCCAGGCUGGUCUUGAACUCCUGACCUCAAGCAAUCCUCCCACCUCAGCCUCCCGAAGUGCUGGGAUGAGCCACCCAUUCACACAGGCAUGAGGCACUGCACCUAGCUUGAUUUUUUUUUCUAUUGACUGCCCUACAGUAGAUGUGUUCGUGAAAACGUGAGCAUAGAUUCUGUAUUUGAUGCAAAAAAGAAUGAGGAGAACUGGGUCCCAAGGCAGGCAAGCCCUUCCUGGGAUGGUUAUAGGAACCAAAAGUGUCCUGCUGAGUGGGACACAGUGCAAAGGCUUCUGCCUGGAAUUAUAACAACUGCAGUUACAAUUUUUUUUGAGCACCUAAGAUAUGCCAGACCCUGAGCUUCACAAGCCGUAUCUCUAUCUUUCCCAGCAAUUUUGCAAAAUAGAUAUGAUUUGUCUAAUUUAAAAUGAGCUAUAUCAACUCCAUGUGGCUAUGCAGGUGCUAUGCAGCCUAGAAGGCUUUAAAACGGCAUCUUCCAAAUGCUGGUCUGGGAGCAGCUUCACAGCAUCCUGAGGAGCUUUUUAAAAAUGCAGACACCCAGCCCCACAUCCUCGAUUUUUAUUCGAAGCCUGUGAGCCUUCCCCAGGCCCCCCAGGUGACUCCGAAUCCUGGCUGGCUCUGGCACUGCGGUUCUGGGCUGCUAAGGGCUGGGGUCUUGUGGGCUGAGGGGGAACCAUAGGAAAAGUCCAGGAAAAGCCACAAUGGGAAGGGUGCCUGGGAGGGAACUUCAGUAAACUAUAAUACAGCCAUAUGGCAGCAUACUAUACAGCCCUUAAAAAUGAAGAAUUUGGCUGGGCAAAGUGGCUCAUGGCUAUAAUCCCAACACUUUGGGAGGUCAAGGCAGGUGGAUCACCUGAGGUCAGGAGAUCAAGACCAGCCUGACUGACAUGGUGAAAUCCCAUCUCUACUAAAAAUGCAAAAAUUAGCCAGGCGUGGUGGGACACACCAGUAGUCCUAGAUACUCAGGAGGCUGAGGCAGGAAAAUCGCUUGAACCCGGGAGGCAGAGGUUGCAGUGAGCUGAGAUCCCGCCACUGCACUCCAGCCUAGGUGACAGAGCAAGACUCCGUCUCAAAAAAAAAGAAUUUGUGAUAACAUUAGAACAGACAUUAAGGGAACAAGACAGGUAAUAAAUUGCGUAUAUAGUUUUGCCACAGCUGUAUAACAAAUGCAAAAGUGCAUGUUUUUUUAAAAAAAAGACUGGAAGGAAAAACAAAAUGUUUUAUUGGUUAUCUCCACAUGAAGAUUCUAUGUGAUUUUACCUUCCUCUGUACACUUUUCUCCCUAGGGAGCGUGUUACCUUUCUAAAUAGAAAAGCGUAAGUGUGUUUUUGAAAGAGAAAAGUCUGUCAUCCUCUGUCACCCCAGCCAGCAGAAGUCAACUUUCACAUUCUGGAGUUAGGCAGAAAUUGCUGGGGUUUUUGUUUUCUUCUUCCCUCUGAGGGCAGGAAAUAACUCUUUCCCACUGGGUUUCCUGCUGGAGUUGGAGGCCCAGAAAAAUUCUGGCUGAAGACUGGAGGCAGGUAUAAACAUGCCAGGCUUGCAAGGUCCUCUGUGAGUGGCUCUUGGGUAUCUCUGCGUCCCUCUCUCUCCAGCACCUGCUCUGGGAGCUGUUUCUGGAAAGCACCAUCACCACUUUUGCAAGGCCGUCCUCUCUACCUGGAAGGCUCUUCCCUGCUCCUCUCUUGCUUAACUAACAUCCUUCGGCCAUUGUCUUAGGUGUCCAUGUUCUAAGGCCCAUCUUCCCUGACCCCCAGUACUGAGUCAGGACCCCCAAGAGCUCCCAGAACACCCUGUUCUCCCUGAUUUGAUUGUCAUCAUGGGUUACUUCUAAGGCUCCCCAAGGGUUGGGACUCUAUAUCCGGUGCAUUAUCAAAGCCUGGUACACAGCAGGCACUCAAUAAAUGUUUACUGAAUGAAUGAAGAAAUCCUGCCUUGAGAUCCAAGGUACCAAAGGAGCUCUGAGAGAGGCAGGUGUCAUCCCAAGGAGCUCUGGUACCUGCCUCUCUCAGAGCUCCUUGGAGGAAAGGGUCCAGGUAGUUCUUUCUGCAUAAAGCUGUUAUGGCUGGUGCCAUGUGAUUCAAAAACCACCUCCACCACCUGCUCCAAGGGAUUAGACCGGAGAUAGGAAGGCAAGCAGACAGCGGGCAGGAGGGGGCUGGCCUCCUCUUCAAUGGCUUGCUCAGAAACUCUGCCCCAUGCAGGGACUCUGUCUAGGGUGGUGGCUAACUGGC
This 5505-nucleotide long non-coding RNA is filed under the name Homo sapiens (human). RNAcentral's name for it is "PREDICTED lncRNA (TCONS_00147852)". Lineage: Eukaryota; Metazoa; Chordata; Mammalia; Primates; Hominidae. The record is from RNAcentral.